GACGAACGCUGGCGGCGUGCUUAACACAUGCAAGUCGAACGGAAAGGCCCUGCUUUUGUGGGGUGCUGGAGUGGCGAACGGGUGAGUAACACGUGAGUAACGUGCCCUUCACUUUGGGAGAACUUCAGGAAACUGAGGCUAAUACCGGAUAGGAGCUCCCGCUGCAUGGUGGGGGUUGGAAAGUUUCGGCGGUUGGGGAUGGACUGGCGGCUUAUCAGCUUGUUGGUGGGGUAGUGGCAUACCAAGGCAUUGACGGGUCGCCGGCCUGCGAGGGGGACCGGCCACAAUGCGACUGAGAUACGGCCCAGACUCCUACGGGAGGCAACGGUGGAGAGUAUUACACAAUGGGCGGAAGCCUGAUGCAGCAACGCCGCGUGCGGGAUGACGGCCUUCGGGUUGUGAACCGCUUUCGCCUGUGACGAAGCGUUAGUGACGGUAAUGGGUGAAGAAGCACCGGCUAACUACGUG
Molecule: ribosomal RNA, 468 nt
Filed under: uncultured bacterium
Lineage: Bacteria
Description: partial 16S ribosomal RNA
Rfam family: Bacterial small subunit ribosomal RNA
Source: RNAcentral